Long non-coding RNA from Drosophila pseudoobscura, 1284 nucleotides. RefSeq lists it as uncharacterized. Lineage: Eukaryota; Metazoa; Arthropoda; Insecta; Diptera; Drosophilidae. The transcript is spliced from 3 exons. The record is from RefSeq and is a predicted model, not a curated record.
AGUGCCAGAGCCCAGAGCCAGUCUCAGCCCCAUUUCGCAUACUCCUCGCCUCUGUGUCUCUCUCCUCUCUCGCUGUUUUGUGUCUGUUUGCGCGCUCACUUAGCGAUCAUAUCAUUUUGACAUGCUCGUGUGUUUAAGCUGUCAAAUUGCCUGCUGUCUACGGAUGCUGUUCCGUUCCUCUAGGAGAGUCUAGGAGAGGAGAGUCUUAACUAUCUUUUUGAACUCCUCGUAGACUGGAGACUGUAGACUGCAGACUGCAGACUGUGCUGUGGCCGCCUGUUGGAGCCGCGCGCUUGUCUUGUCUAUUUGUAUCUGGACAGGCACUUCUCGGCCUUAAGUUGACGUGUUACGCUGUCAGCAUGGAGAAAACCUCAAUUUCAAACUGUCAGUUUAUAUGUCAGCUUCAACUGACAGUUCUCCAUGUUGGCGCUGUCUCUUUUUCUUCGUUUCGUUUCGUUUCGUUACGUUGGCUCCGGCUCUGGCUCUGGCUUUUCCACAGAUACAAAUACAGAUACCAUACCGCGUAGAGGCUACAGUCUACAGCCGACAGACAGGGAGAUACUUAGAUGGGCAUUUGAAUAAUGCGCACACAACUCUCUGGCUUACCAAAGAGGUUUGGUUUCGCUCUGUUAUGGCGGGGAUACUUGCUGUUCAUUUGGCCAUGAUCCUAACUCUAUUCAUGGUGUGCGCUUCAACACGGGGGAAACAACUCAUUCGUGGCUGCUGUCUACUGUCUACCGUCUACAAGUUGAAUGGGCCAGAGAUACGAGUACGACUAAGAGCACACACCAGUACACCAGCUUGCGGAAUCCGGUGAUGAUUUCCACUGAUACUAGAUAAAGCAUUACAGGCGACUCUUUCUGGGAAACAAUGUUAAGUGUUGUAACCACACAUUGCCACUGAAAUGAUUGUUGGAUAACUGUAAACCGACUGAAUGUCCGUCUAAUACUAUGACUCUGAUUGAAAUACCGCUUUCGUCUGGCACACGGGCAACAGCUUCAUUUCGACAGCGGCAACAAAGUUUAUUGGCAACAGACACACACACACAAACACAAAAGAAGGUAAGAGGAGGGUAAAACCUUAACCCAAUAUCCUGCUUAUGGUCAUAAUUUUUGUGCUGCUUCCAGCCAAGAAACCAAAAGAAAAAGAAAUGAGAAAAAAAGAAGGAAAAAGAUCUGUAAAAAAUCCAGCGACCGCCUGGUCGCAACUUAUUGCAGUUGCAGGGAGAACCCUGCCACAUCCUCAGUUGCAGCUCUCCCAUCUUGCGUCUCCCGGUUCCCGUCU